RNAcentral lists this transfer RNA (63 nucleotides) under Dipodomys ordii (Ord's kangaroo rat). It matches the Rfam family "tRNA", at positions 1 to 61 of the family's 71-position model. Rfam says of the family: Transfer RNA (tRNA) molecules are approximately 80 nucleotides in length. Their secondary structure includes four short double-helical elements and three loops (D, anti-codon, and T loops). The record is from Rfam by way of RNAcentral. Lineage: Eukaryota; Metazoa; Chordata; Mammalia; Rodentia; Heteromyidae.
GGGAAUGUGGCUUAGUGGUAGAGUGCUUGCCUCGCAUGCAAGAAACCCCUGGGUUCGAUUCCG